Molecule: non-coding RNA, 2273 nt
Organism: Gasterosteus aculeatus aculeatus (three-spined stickleback)
Lineage: Eukaryota; Metazoa; Chordata; Actinopteri; Perciformes; Gasterosteidae
Source: RefSeq, a predicted model, not a curated record
UUUAGAGCCACCAAUUAACCUGAUCCCCAGAGCAUGUCUUUAGACUGUGGGAGGAAGCCAGAGGACCCGGAGAGAACCCACGCCGACAGGGGGAGAAUAUGCAGACUGCACAGAGAAAGGCCACAGGGAGAAGUCGAACUCAGGACAUUCUUGCUGUGAGGCGACAGUGCUAACCAUGACCCCACUGUGCAGCCCGUAUGGCAUUCCAAUAUAUUUAAAGGCUUUGCUUCGAAUUCAGCAUUCUGCAAAUGUGCUUCUUCCCCUUUCUGAGAGACAUCAAUUUCAGAUUGCAAAUUUACAUUUACACGCACGUGGCUUCAGCAGACGUCUCUAUUGGACAUAAUAAAUGUUUACACUCUUUACAUUGAUGUUUUUACCAAGGAUAUCUCAAAUAAUCUAAAUGGUGAUACUGCAAGACAAGUUCAUCUUUGUUGGGAUGAGGUCAGCCUGUGAGAUUAUAACUCAAUGAUUUGAAUAAUAAAUAAUCUUUUUCAAUGUGUAGCCAGUGAGAAAAUGUCCUUCCUGAGCUACUGUAGGUUCAGGCAGGCCUUGGUACCUCCUACUUCCUGGUUCACCCAUUAGAAAGGGUAUAAAGCUGCCCAUAAUGAAGCUGCUUUUGGCAUGCUUGUCCCUUUCUGUGUUGGAGAGUGGCUGGAGAAGCCAGUGAGCUGGUAGGUGUUUUCAUUCUCAGUUCUUAUUAAAAUGGUUUGGCCAUUGGUGAUCUUUCUGUUUGUGUCUCCCAGCUCGUCAGGGAGGCCCAAACCAUGUGUGAGCCAUACCAGGUGGAGGAGCCUCAAAGUAACUCCAGGCUGGCAUUAGAAGCCAUUGCUGUUUUGUGUUGCUUGUUCAGUUCUGGUCUGGAGUUUCUUCAUGUUUGUAAUAUUAGUUAGUUUGCAGAUUACUUUUGGUAAGUAAUGUGUUUAUUUUUGUGUUUUGAGGUUGUCUGCAGAGUAGCAUCCCAGAUGGUGGGUCUGGUGGCUGGGCCUUUAAUCUGCUCAUCCCAUUGUCCGUUUGUCUGUAUUCUUUUUACAUAGCAUGCCUCUAUUUUAUAUUGUUUGUGUGGAGAAACUGAGUCGGUGAGUGCCCUGUGCCAGAGCCUGUCCCUGUUCCUGCCCCGGUGCAGCCUAGUCACCAGUAGCACUCAAUUUGUUUGUAGAGGUGCAUUUGGUUAUUUCUACAGCUGAUGGAAAUUGGUGUAAUCGUUUUGUAUGCUUACUAUAUUUUAACUAAAUGUUGAAAUCUGGGAAUACUUUUUCCUCAGUCUGACUUCAGUCACCUGUUGAUCCGUGGUUGUUGGAUAAUUUAUGAGGAAAUAUUUAACCCUGUGCUACCGGUGGUUACAAAUGUAUUUCUUCCAGUUGCUCAACUUCUCAUGACUUGAUCUACACACUAUGCAUCAGCUAAAACUAAUGCAUUCUAAUACAACAGCCCUAAAACUAUUUCUCCCGCAUUCUCUUGUAUCUGUCGACAGCCCAAAUAGAAAUCUGCUAAUGGUACCCCUAGAGGGGAUUUACUUGCACGUUGAACUUUACUAAUUGCUUGUGAUCUCUUCUCAGACUGCUAUGGCUGGUUCUACACCUGCAGAAUCAAGAUGACCAAUGGAAAAACUAAAACUUCCAAUGUUCGGAAGUUAGGGUUGGUUCAAAAUGCGUUUGGCAAGAAACCUGGUGGAGACCGUGGUGCCAUGAAAGCAAACAAAAGGACGGUCCAGAGAGUUGGUCGAGCAGUUUCAGCCUCCUCUGACGGUGGAAAUUACCAGCACUCUUUAGUGAUUUGAGAGAACGGAUGAUCCAGAGAAGACAACAGGGUCCUGCCUUCGGCUCCCUAGGAGCGGCCAAGCAACUUCAGCCUCCUGUGAAAAUUGAGAGGUAAGACCCUUUCUCAGUACUGCUUUUCAUGUCCUGCUGUGAAAGUCUAAUAAAAUGUUAGAAUGCCAGACGGUUGGUUGGUUAACUGCAUCUGCUGCUAAUAUAUACUGAACUAAUUCAGUUUUUAUCUGCGCUUUCCCAGUGUGUAAAAAGAUGCAUUCUUGUCAGUGUUUAAAUAUUUCUUGUUUGCUGAAGUACUGUUGUGCUACCACACAGGACGAUUCAGAGAACACUACAGGCUCCUGCUUCAGAGGCAUGCAGCUUUAGCCUCCUGUGGAAAUUGCCUUAUGCUCCUGCAAAAUUAGCGAUUUGACUAACUGGAUGAUAGAAUCCAACUCUCUACAGGCUUUGGCAAAAGGUAAGACCCUAAGUGUGGGCUAGGGUUAGCGGGGGCUAAGUGUGGGC